UUCCGGUUGAUCCUGCCGGACCCCACUGCUAUCGAGAUGGGACUAAGGUAUGCUAGUCGAACGACCAGAACUAUGUCUGGAAGUGGCACACUGCUCAGUAACACGUAGCUAACCUACCCUUAGGACGUGGAUACCCCCGAGAAAUUGGGGUUAAUCCGCGAUAGGUGUAAUGUCCUGGAAUGGUAUUACGCCUAAAGGUGUAUCAUACAUGUUUGAUAUACGCCUAAGGAUGGGGCUGCGGCCGAUCAGGCUGUUGGUGAGGUAAUGGCUCACCAAACCUUUGACCGGUACGGGCCAUGAGAGUGGUAGCCCGGAGAUGGACACUGAGACAAGGGUCCAGGCCCUAAGGGGCGCAGCAACCGCGAAACCUCCACAAUGCACUCACGUGCGAUGGGGCUAUCUCGAGUGCCACCUGAUGAAGGUGGCUUUUCCUAGGUCUUCAAAGCCUUGGGAAUAAGAGGGGGGCAAGACUGGUGUCAGCCGCCGCGGUAACACCAGCCCCUCGAGUGGUGGGGAUGAUUAUUUGGCCUAAAGCGUCCGUAGCCGGCCGAGCAAGUCUUCCGUUAAAUCCAGCGUCUCAAGCGUUGGACUGCGGGAGAUACUACACGGCUAGAGAGUGGGAGAGGUCAGCGGUAUUCUGGGGGUAGGGGCGAAAUCCUUUGAUCCCCGGAGGACCACCAGUGGCGAAGGCUGCUGACUAGAACACGUCUGACGGUCAGGGACGAAAGCUGGGGUAGCGAACCGGAUUAGAUACCCGGGUAGUCCCAGCCGUAAACGAUGCAUGCUAGGUGUUGGGUUGGCCACGAGCCACCCAAUCACU
This 820-nucleotide ribosomal RNA is filed under the name uncultured archaeon. RNAcentral's name for it is "bacterial SSU rRNA". It matches the Rfam family "Archaeal small subunit ribosomal RNA", at positions 1 to 802 of the family's 1478-position model. The record is from RNAcentral.